GAUGAAGAACGUAGCGAAAUGCGAUAAGUAAUGUGAAUUGCAGAAUUCAGUGAAUCAUCGAAUCUUUGAACGCACAUUGCGCCCUCUGGUAUUCCGGGGGGCAUGCCUGUUCGAGCGUCAUUAUAACCACUCAAGCUCUCGCUUGGUAUUGGGGUUCGCGGUUCCACGGCCCCUAAAAUCAGUGGCGGUGCCUGUCGGCUCUACGCGUAGUAAUACUCCUCGCGAUUGAGUCCGGUAGGUCUACUUGCCAGCAACCCCCAAUUUUUACAGGUUGACCUCGGAUCAGGUAGGGAUACCCGCUGAACUUAAGCAUAUCAAUAAGCGGAGGA
Molecule: unclassified non-coding RNA, 329 nt
Filed under: soil metagenome
Description: partial contains 5.8S ribosomal RNA, internal transcribed spacer 2, and large subunit ribosomal RNA
Rfam family: 5.8S ribosomal RNA (bases 1-120)
Source: RNAcentral